This 1076-nucleotide long non-coding RNA is filed under the name Bos taurus (domestic cattle). RNAcentral's name for it is "long non-coding RNA NONBTAT006307". The record is from RNAcentral. Lineage: Eukaryota; Metazoa; Chordata; Mammalia; Artiodactyla; Bovidae.
UGUAAAAGGUUAAAUUUUCUGGGACAUACAUAUCGUAAAAAUCACUGCACUCCCAAAAUAACUGUCCAUCUUAACCAUGAGAGCAGCCAGCUUCAUUUGACUCAGUUCAUGAAAUACUUGGGAAUCUCAACCAUUGCUUCUUGAAUAACAAAAAUGAUCUAAUCCAUAGUCAAAAGUAGAACUUUUAAUAGGAUUCAGGGGACCAAUAGAGAGUCACUCAGUUAAAAUUUAAUUUGGGUGUACAAAAACCACAUUUAAUGGGAUUCGCUGCCACACCUAGUUUUCUUGGCUUUUCAUAAUUACUCUGAAAUGAAGAUCUUGAUUACUUUUUCUGAAAGGCAAAACUUUUCUUGCAUUCAUACCAUUUUAGAAUGGUGAUGGUAUUCCCAAUAAAUUAUAGAAAAAUUUAAAGAGGGCUUAGGCAUCAAAUGAAAAUUUCAAAGUUUAAGAAAUCGUUAUUUUAGUAAGUUCAGAAAUUAAUACUUUGCUUCCCAAUCACUUAAGUGGCAAACUCCUCUUUUUUAAAAAAAGAAAAAAUAUGAAUGUGUUUUGGGGGAUGUUACAGCUUUGGGUUGAAUUAUUUACAACUUAACAUAGAAAACAGUACCUUACCAUCACUGCAUGUUUUAUAGAGAUUUAUGACAGUCAUAGGUGUGUUGGACUUUUUAAAUGCACAUGUACAAAUCUACUUCUUUGACUAUGUAUAGAUACCAAAAUUUAAGAAUAGUGGGGAGGCGAUAUAUCAUACAAAACAAGCAAUGCUAAGGCUCUGAUUUAGCCCCCUGUCUGAAAGUGGUGACAGGUGGGAAGAUAAUAUGCUGCUUCAUCAAGUCUUGUCUCUGUUACAAAAUGUAACCUCAAAUUCAUGGAGUGAGUCAGCACAGUGAGUGCAUGAGACAUCGGGUGUGGUCCAGAUUCUCCAAGCUUAGGAACAUCACACUCUCCUCUUGCUUGAUUCUGUUUUCAUUUGACUGAUGAAAAUGAUACCUGCUGACUGAAGGUAAUCAAAUAGAGCAGCUAAUUUCAGAAUGUAUCUUAUUGUCUUUCAUUAUCAUCAAUACUUAAUCAUUUUAAAA